ACGGGAGGCAGCAGUGGGGAAUAUUGGACAAUGGGGGAAACCCUGAUCCAGCGACGCCGCGUGAGUGAAGAAGUAUUUCGGUAUGUAAAGCUCUAUCAGCAAGAAAGAAAAUGACGGUACUUGACUAAGAAGCCCCGGCUAACUACGUGCCAGCAGCCGCGGUAAUACAUAGGGGGCAAGCGUUAUCCGGAUUUACUGGGUGUAAAGGGAGCGUAGACGGCGAUGCAAGUCUGAAGUGAAAGCCCGGGGCUCAACCCCGGAACUGCUUUGGAAACUGUAUAGCUAGAGUGCAGGAGAGGUAUGUGGAAUUCCUAGUGUAGCGGUGAAAUGCGUAGAUAUUAGGAGGAACACCAGUGGCGAAGGCGACAUACUGGACUGUAACUGACGUUGAGGCUCGAAGGCGUGGGGAGCAAACAGGAUUAGAUACCCUGGUA
This 434-nucleotide ribosomal RNA is filed under the name uncultured Clostridium sp. Its description in RNAcentral is "partial 16S ribosomal RNA". It matches the Rfam family "Bacterial small subunit ribosomal RNA", at positions 341 to 792 of the family's 1533-position model. The record is from RNAcentral. Lineage: Bacteria; Bacillati; Bacillota; Clostridia; Eubacteriales; Clostridiaceae.